RNAcentral lists this small RNA (96 nucleotides) under Marmota monax (woodchuck). Lineage: Eukaryota; Metazoa; Chordata; Mammalia; Rodentia; Sciuridae. The record is from RNAcentral.
GGCAGUUCUGUGAUCACUCAGGUUUCUGAGGCAGCCGGGGAAGGAGUUGACGAACUCGGACUUCUCCCCUGCCACCCUGGGAGACGUCCCAGGGAU